CAGUCGCCGCGGGAAUACAGAGGGUGCGAGCGUUAAUCGGAUUUACUGGGCGUAAAGCGUGCGUAGGCGGCUUCUUAAGUCGGAUGUGAAAUCCCUGAGCUUAACUUAGGAAUUGCAUUCGAUACUGGGAAGCUAGAGUAUGGGAGAGGAUGGUAGAAUUCCAGGUGUAGCGGUGAAAUGCGUAGAGAUCUGGAGGAAUACCGAUGGCGAAGGCAGCCAUCUGGCCUAAUACUGACGCUGAGGUACGAAAGCAUGGGGAGCAAACAGGAUUAGAUACCCGUGUAGUCCCUGUCUCUUAUAU
Molecule: ribosomal RNA, 301 nt
Filed under: uncultured bacterium
Lineage: Bacteria
Description: partial 16S ribosomal RNA
Rfam family: Bacterial small subunit ribosomal RNA
Source: RNAcentral